UCUAUAUACGAUGUUCUUGCG
RNAcentral lists this non-coding RNA (21 nucleotides) under Caenorhabditis elegans. The record is from RNAcentral. Lineage: Eukaryota; Metazoa; Nematoda; Chromadorea; Rhabditida; Rhabditidae.